UUAAAGUCUAACCUGCCCACUGAAAAUUUUAAAUGGCCGCAGUAUUCUAACUGUGCAAAGGUAGCAUAAUCAUUAGUCUUUUAAUUGAAGGCUGGAAUGAAUGGUUGGACGAAAUAUUAACUGUUUCAUUUUAAUUUUUUAUAGAAUUUUAUUUUUUAGUCAAAAAGCUAAAAUAAAUUUAAAAGACGAGAAGACCCUAUAAAUCUUUAUAUUUUGUUUAUUUUAAUUUUAAAGAUUAUUUUAAUUUUAAUAAAUAAAAAUAUUUUAUUGGGGUGAUAUUAAAAUUUAAAAAACUUUUAAUUUUGAAUACCAUUAAUUUAUGAGUAAUUGAUCCAUUAAUAAUGAUUAAAAAUUUAAGUUACUUUAGGGAUAACAGCGUAAUUUUUUUGGAGAGUUCAUAUCGAUAAAAAAGAUUGCGACCUCGAUGUUGGAUUAAGAUAUAAUUUUGGGUGUAGCCGUUCAAAUUUUAAGUCUGUUCGACUUUUAAAUUCUUACAUGAUCUGAGUUCAAACCGGCGUAAGCCAGGUUGGUUUCUAUCUUUAAAAAAUUAAAAUAUUUUAGUACGAAAGGACCAAAUAUUUAAAUAAUUAUAUUUUAUAUAAGAAUAUUAUUAAUAUAA
This 619-nucleotide ribosomal RNA is filed under the name Drosophila mediopictoides. RNAcentral describes it as "partial 16S ribosomal RNA". It matches the Rfam family "Bacterial large subunit ribosomal RNA", at positions 1845 to 2746 of the family's 2925-position model. Lineage: Eukaryota; Metazoa; Arthropoda; Insecta; Diptera; Drosophilidae. The record is from RNAcentral.